Molecule: ribosomal RNA, 279 nt
Filed under: uncultured bacterium
Lineage: Bacteria
Description: partial 16S ribosomal RNA
Rfam family: Bacterial small subunit ribosomal RNA
Source: RNAcentral
UGCCAGCAGCCGCGGUAAUACGUAUGGUGCAAGCGUUAUCCGGAAUCACUGGGCGUAAAGGGCGUGUAGGCGGCUUGGCAGGUCAAAGGUGAAAUCCCUCGGCUCAACCGAGGAACUGCCUUUGAAACCGCCUGGCUAGAGGCCGGGAGAGGGUAGUGGAAUUCCCAGUGUAGCGGUGAAAUGCGUAGAUAUUGGGAGGAACACCAGUGGCGAAGGCGACUACCUGGACCGGUUCUGACGCUGAGGCGCGAAAGCGUAGGGAGCAAACAGGAUUAGAUA